AAAAUCCGGGGGGCUAAGCUGAGGCGUGAUGACGAGGAACCACGGUUCCGAAGUGAUUGAUACCAAGCUUCCAGGAAAAGCCACUAAGCUUCAGUCUAGAGUUGACCGUACCGCAAACCGACACAGGUGGGCAGGAUGAAAAUUCUAAGGCGCUUGAGAGAACUCAGGAGAAGGAACUCGGCAAAUUAACACCGUAACUUCGGGAGAAGGUGUGCCCCGGUAGCGUGUAGAGACUUGCUCUCGAAGCGCGAUGGGGUUGCAGUGAAAUGGUGGCUGCGACUGUUUAAUAAAAACACAGCACUCUGCAAACACGAAAGUGGACGUAUAGGGUGUGACGCCUGCCCGGUGCCGGAAGGUUAAGUGAUGGGGUGCAAGCUCUUGAUCGAAGCCCCGGUAAACGGCGGCCGUAACAAUAACGGUCCUAAGGUAGCGAAAUUCCUUGUCGGGUAAGUUCCGACCUGCACGAGUGGCGUAACGAUGGCCACACUGUCUCCUCCUGGGACUCAGCGAAGUUGAAAUGUUUGUGAAGAUGCAAUCUACCCGCGGCUAGACGGAAAGACCCCAUGAACCUUUACUGUAGCUUCGCAUUGGACUUUGAACCGGUUUGUGUAGGAUAGGUGGGAGACUGUGAAGCCGGGACGCUAGUUUCGGUGGAGUCAACCUUGAAAUACCACCCUGAUUUGUUUGAGGUUCUAACCUUGGUCCGUGAAUCCGGAUCGGGGACCGUGCAUGGUAGGCAGUUUGACUGGGGCGGUCUCCUCCCAAAAGGUAACGGAGGAGUACGAAGGUACGCUUAGGGCGGUCGGACAUCGCCCACAAAGUGCAAUGGCAAAAGCGUGCUUGACUGCGAGACCCACAAGUCGAGCAGGUACGAAAGUAGGUCAUAGUGAUCCGGUGGUUCUGUAUGGAAGGGCCAUCGCUCAACGGAUAAAAGGUACUCUGGGGAUAACAGGCUAAUUCCUCCCAAGAGUUCAUAUCGACGGGGGAGUUUGGCACCUCGAUGUCGGCUCAUCACAUCCUGGGGCUGUAGUCGGUCCCAAGGGUAUGGCUGUUCGCCAUUUAAAGUGGUACGCGAGCUGGGUUUAAAACGUCGUGAGACAGUUUGGUCCCUAUCUGCCGUGGGCGCUGGAAAUUUGAAGGGGGCUGCUCCUAGUACGAGAGGACCGGAGUGGACGAACCUCUGGUGUACCGGUUAUGACGCCAGUCGUAUCGCCGGGUAGCUAAGUUCGGAAGAGAUAAACGCUGAAAGCAUCUAAGCGUGAAACUCGCCUUAAGAUAAGAUUUCCCGGAGUCUUGAACUC
Molecule: ribosomal RNA, 1301 nt
Filed under: metagenome
Description: bacterial LSU rRNA
Rfam family: Bacterial large subunit ribosomal RNA
Source: RNAcentral